Molecule: long non-coding RNA, 1825 nt
Filed under: Capsicum annuum
Lineage: Eukaryota; Viridiplantae; Streptophyta; Magnoliopsida; Solanales; Solanaceae
Description: long non-coding RNA (CANN_LNC013928)
Source: RNAcentral
AAUACUCUUCCAACUCAUAUUUUCACUCCAACCUUUUCUUACCUCAUCAUUUAUCCGAAGGUAAUUCUCUCUUCUCAUUGAUUUUUUUAGGUCAUUAUUGACUUCUAAUUAAUUUUGUCUUGAGCCGGGCGUCUAUCGGAAACAGCCUCUCUACUCCUUUGGGGUAGUGGUAUGGACUGCGUACAUUUUACCCUCCCCAGACCCCACUAUGUGGAAAUAUACUGGGUUUGUUGUUGUUAUUAUUGUUGUGUAUUGACUUCUAAUUAAAAUUGAGAAAAUGAGAAAAAUCUCAAAAAUAAGGUUACUUGGGAUUGAGUUUCAUUAGUGGACCCCAGGCUGCUAUAAUAACGAUAUGCAGUGUACUACUUGAGGAAUCUUUUAGUCUCCUUUUUGUGGUUCUUUUUUUUCACACCUUAUUAUGUUUUUCAAAUAUAUGGGACACUUAUCUAACAUUUCUACCUUCUUAUCUAGGUAAUAUGAGAACUAUAGUUGAAGAAGGUGACAUUUUCACUGGUUAAUGAGGAAUUUCACAACUCAAAAUAAAGGAGGCCUGAUUUGUAUGUACACCUAAAGGACGUCAGACACUAGUGUGAGUUUUUGAUAGAUGGGAUGGAUAAGGAGUCUCUAGUGUUUUAGACACGAUGUCAGAACAUGGGUUAAGGAAAUAUGGUGCAUGUGACAUAAACGUGCAAUAAGAUUUGAGUGAGAAAGUUCUUUGUUACCUCUCUAAAGUUAUUAGAAUAAGGUGAACCCCUAUAGCCCAAAUAGAUGUGAAUACGAGGGAACAGAUUAUGGUAGAGUGGAGCUUCUUCUUUUCCCUUCGAAAGAACCUUUACUUCCUUUCUUUAUUACUAAGCUAUGCUAGAAGGCUAAGGUACCUAUGGAGAUGGAGGAUGCAUUGACCGAGUUUGAUGCUCCCUUCAAUCGAUUGAUAGUGCAGAGUGCUAAAGGGAGGAGUAAAACAAAGAGGAAUAUGAGUGUCAAUAGGGAGAGCAAUGGGUAUUAGGAGGGUGGAGGAUUGGGGACUAUCCUCUUACGUCCACCGAGGCCCUUCAGGUGAUUAAAGAAUGAUUUAGUGACUAUAAAAUAUAUGAUUUCUAGGAUGCCCAUCCUUCCCUGAGAUCCUACUUCUUCUAGUAUGUAGGCCUCUCAAAUAUCCAAAGUGCUUACUCUAUCUUGGCUCAGGCAUAUGUAGAGAUUCAAAAGGAAAUAGAGGUAGAGAAAGAAGGGGCACACUCAAGAUUAGUUGCUGGUACACAAAUGGAAAGGAAUGAAGGUUAUCAUAAAUUUUGUUUCCUCGGGGUAGAAGCUCCCCAAGGCGAGGAAUACCGAUGCUCAAGGGUUGUCCUUUCCUGAGUGGGAUAUAUGAUAAAGGUUCAGCUGUACCCAUCCUUACAUAUUAAGUGUCCAAUUUGGCCUAUCUUGGUAAUCCCGCCCCUCUCUUAUGUUUUUAGAUUGUUGUAUUUUUGGCCCUAUGUAGGCAUGUUUAAGAUAUCUCAUUACUUUUUGUACUCAAUAUUUAUUACUUAUUUUUCAUUCUUUGGUGUCGUUAGUGUCAUCUUUGGAUGAUAAUUUUGUUUGUAGUCCCAUAGUAUAGAAAUAUUGUAUUAGCAUCUGGAUUUUUCCUUUAAAUUGUGUUUUUUUGUAAAAUAUAGUUCUUCUAAAAAUUGGGCUCGAGCUUUCAGCUUGUGACUGCUGUAAUAGUACCUCAUAUGCUGCAGCAGUCUUGCUAAAACAACCUAUGGCCUGCUACAGCAACCUCAACCAGCCUACUAAUGUAGUAUGUCACCAACUGCAGUGUAACGCCCCAAGAACCCAUCCCGAG